GUGUCAGCCGCCGCGGUAAGACAGAGGGUGCAAACGUUGCUCGGAAUUACUGGGCGUAAAGCGCGUGUAGGCGGUGCCGCACGUCCGGUGUGAAAGCCCAGGGCUCAACCCUGGAAGCGCACUGGAAACGACGGCGCUGGAGUCCUGAAGAGGAGGGCGGAAUUCCCGGUGUAGAGGUGAAAUUCGUAGAUAUCGGGAGGAACACCAGUGGCGAAGGCGGCUCUCUGGACAGGAACUGACGCUGAGACGCGAAAGCGUGGGUAGCAAACAGGAUUAGAAACCCCUGUAGUCC
This 292-nucleotide ribosomal RNA is filed under the name uncultured bacterium. Its description in RNAcentral is "partial 16S ribosomal RNA". It matches the Rfam family "Bacterial small subunit ribosomal RNA", at positions 505 to 796 of the family's 1533-position model. The record is from RNAcentral.